GAUGAACGCUGGCGGCGUGCCUAACACAUGCAAGUCGAGCGAUCUUCUUCGGAAGAGAGCGGCGGACGGGUGAGUAACGCGUGGGUAACCUGCCUCAUACACAUGGAUAACAUACCGAAAGGUAUGCUAAUACAAGAUGAUAUAAGAGAUUCGCAUGGAUUUCUUAUCAAAGCUCCGGCGGUAUGAGAUGGACCCGCGUCUGAUUAGCUAGUUGGUAAGGUAACGGCUUACCAAGGCGACGAUCAGUAGCCGACCUGAGAGGGUGAUCGGCCACAUUGGAACUGAGACACGGUCCAAACUCCUACGGGAGGCAGCAGUGGGGAAUAUUGCACAAUGGGCGAAAGCCUGAUGCAGCAACGCCGCGUGAGCGAUGAAGGCCUUCGGGUCGUAAAGCUCUGUCCUCAAGGAAGAUAAUGACGGUACUUGAGGAGGAAGCCCCGGCUAACUACGUG
RNAcentral lists this ribosomal RNA (452 nucleotides) under uncultured bacterium. Its description in RNAcentral is "bacterial SSU rRNA". It matches the Rfam family "Bacterial small subunit ribosomal RNA", at positions 28 to 507 of the family's 1533-position model. The record is from RNAcentral.